UUGUGGUAUGCUAGCUAGUGUGAAGUCGUGAAGAACCUUCUCAACAUUAGGUCUCAUAUCUCUAGCAGCUUAAUUUUUACUUUGUCUUAAGCAUGAGACUUGCUUUAGUUUGGGUAAGUUAGUUUCCUGUUGAAAACGGUCCUAGCUUAGACCUAACAGCACUGAAUUGUUAUGUUUGAAAAACAGAAAGUUAAAUUUAAAAAUAACCUCAAUGCACUUUUUUAGGCUGACUGUUGUCUCAUUUACCCAGUCAAAAUCACUUCCAUUGUAGUGAAUUCGGUACUAUGUGAAAGCUUCUACUUUGAAUGACUUCUGUACAUUCAUCUGCCCUCAUUUUCAGCUUUGAUAUCUUUUUUCAUAGCUUCCUUCUAUAGCUUCCAGCACAUACCAGCAUAGACUAGGCCACAUUCAUACUGAUCAGAAUAGAUGCUCUGGUAGAGUAACUUGGGCAGGUAUGGAAUUAUAAGGUGACACAUUCCUACUUGGUAUGCUGUUUAUAUCAUAAAAUAAAUACCAUUGUUACUACUACACAGUAUCAUGUACAGGCAUGUCAUUUUUCUACUAACUUUUACAUUUGUGAUUUUUAAGGUUAAUAGCGUUAGUAGUUAAGACUGCAUAAAAUAUACUGAGAGUUGCCUCCUGCAUUACUAAAGAUAAAAGUAACUAAUUCUUGUACACUAAUGAAUCUAUAUCUAAAUUAGUAAAAAUAUCAGGACUUCAAAGUGGGUUGAGUCAUAGAGGUGCUGCUUGAGUUUUCUUUUGGAAAGAAUCAGCACUUACAGUGUUCACUCAAGGUCGUGCUCCUGAAUACUUCCAAAUGUUCUUCAAAAGAUUUUUAUGCUACUUUCUUAGGGGUAGGUUAUUUGACCAUCAAGAUUCAUUCAUGAACUUGCAUCUGUGAGCUGUGUUCAGCCUUGGACUUCCAUCUUGCUGAAACUGCUCAAUGGCAUUUGAUGUCCACUUUUCCCAGCUGUAGUGGAAUACGAUUAAAGUCAGCUGUUGCAACAAGGGUCACAUAAGAAUUGCCUGUGUAACUGUAAGAAUAACUCCAGUUCACACUGAAAUACAUGUAAUAAUACAACAUAUUUGAGGUAGAAUAUACUGAAAUUGUAAUAUAAUUGUAAUUUCUGUGUGUAUGGGUGAAUAGGUAUUUCUGUGCACAUUCUAAAGACUGAGGUACUGAAGGUCACAGUAUAAUUUAUAGAUUGAAAAUUAUCGCUGUCUGCUUAACAGCUUUGACCCGGGUGCCAGAUAGCAAAAUCAUACUGAUUUCUACAAAUUCUUACCCUGAGUCUUGUAACUCACAUAUGGUUGCAUGACUGACUAAUUUGCUUUUGUUUAAUCUUGAAUGUUUUCAAACAAUUCUGAAUAAUGUUUACACUAAACUUGUUGAAAUUAUGAGAUCCAAUACAAGUUGAGAAAGUGUGAUGUAUGAGGGGAAAGGCUGAAUAAUAUCAAAACAGAGAAACAUUCUCUGGCAUUAUAUAAUCAAAUCUGGCAUUAUCAAAUCAAAUCUGAAAGUCAAAGAGUAUGUCCAGCUGAGAAAGAACGCACUGUCCUAUUUCACUUUCUUUAUUCAUGUAAUGUUUCCGGUUUUGUUUUUUUAUUAAACUUUGGAUUACUUUUUCAUUCCUACUGAGAAUUUCUUAUCGACUGUAUUUUUUAGAAGUCUUUGUUUUGCAUUAAAAAAAAUCUAAGUUUCUUUUUCUCCUCUGAGUUUCUUUAACAUUGAUGUAGUUGUUCAGCUACUUUGCUUCUAUUUUCUGAAUCUGUUUUUAGAUUUUCCCAAUUCUUUUCAAAUAGCUGUCACUACUCAAUACUUUUUGUUUUACAAGAUUAAUCUACAAUCUGCAUUGAUGGCUUUGGGAAACUGUAGUCUGAUAAAGAGUAAAGUUCUUAUUAUCUCUGUUGUUUCUUCUCAAGUGAACAACUGGGUGUUGGCAGAAACAUUGAAGUCCUGGUCUGGUUUUCAAUAGAAGUGUCUAUGAUGGCAUUAGUUACAGCACUGGUUAAAUUUCUUACUUCAGUAAUUAAAUUAUGUCAAUGCAUUUAUACUGAUGCAUUAAACCUCCCUCACUUUUUGUCUUCUGACUUCUUGUAUGUAAUGUAAAAACAAACAAUUCUGUGAGCAGUGGUAGUGGCAAGUGCAAGCACACAACAUCAAGGCGUUUUCUGGAAUGUUUGUGUGAACCCUACUUGGAUGGAAACUUAUGUUGUAGGUAUUUCCUAAAAGUUUAUAAAUUACCACUUAUCAAAUUGCAAAAAUAGAGAUUUUUUU
This is a long non-coding RNA of Gallus gallus (chicken), 2278 nucleotides long. The record is from Ensembl. NCBI's taxonomy places the organism in Eukaryota, Metazoa, Chordata, Aves, Galliformes, Phasianidae.